GCUACGCAUGUCUUACAACGGACUCGCCAUCCGUUUUCACGAAACAACUUGCCCACUUCCUAUAUGAGCGGAGAGAUAAGACACGAUCUCUGAUAUCCGCGAAUGACAUUCCUUGUAUAUUGCCCUGCAAUCCCAAUCCUCUCUUCUUGCUAGUAAUACUCCCCUGCAGAUCUUCUCAUCCCGAUACUAAUACGCCCCUGUUAGAUCCACUCAUCCCGCUGUGCCUCGUCCGCCGCUGCAACCCGCCUUCAGGUGCCUAAUGGGAUUCAUAUGUAGAGGGGUCGUCAAUUAUGUGCAGCGGCGAGUCGGCGAGCCGAACGCCGUUGCUAGAUCCAGUCAUCCCGCGGCGCCCCGUCCACAUCUGCAACCCGCCUUCAGGUGGAGACCUCCACCUCGAUCCUUUCUCUUGAUUUCUAUUGAUGUCGUCAUCUCUGGUUUCAGCGGGCCGUGCUUCGUUCUAGAGAUUAUGUGCCUCGACGGGUACCACUUGGUUUCAGUUUCACUCCUACCUGACCCGAAGUCUGCAGUCCUUGGUUGGCUCGAUCCGCUAAUUAUUCAGGUUGUGUUCUGUGUGGAUACGUGUUGUGCCUCUGUCCCUGCCGCUCAACCAAGGGUGCUUGCUCUCAGAUCACCUGCCACAAGUCCCAACUGCUAACCACCGCUCCCACCCGGCUUCUCCCUUAAUCAGAUGACCACAGGUUCAGACAAGAGGUAAAGCUUCAGUAUUUGUGUUCUGCAACGAGAAAUAUAAAUCUGUGGUACUAUAGAAGAAGGGCUCAUAAAGUAAUCAGAGUGUGUAGUACGGCCUGAUUGGUAAAAUAAGUGGACGGAGCAUGGCUGAGAUGCUGAGAACAAGUUUCAAGAAUGGCGCUACUACGAGAUAGUUGUAGACUAUGUUUUAGAGUGUCACUUCUAGAGAUACAUAACUUGUAUUCAAUUAGUCAUGCUACUUGUAAAGCAACAUAGUUAAUCAAUAUAUGAGAUCCUUCUGUUUAA
This is a long non-coding RNA of Lolium perenne, 996 nucleotides long. RefSeq lists it as uncharacterized. Lineage: Eukaryota; Viridiplantae; Streptophyta; Magnoliopsida; Poales; Poaceae. The record is from RefSeq and is a predicted model, not a curated record.